Molecule: ribosomal RNA, 253 nt
Filed under: uncultured bacterium
Lineage: Bacteria
Description: partial 16S ribosomal RNA
Rfam family: Bacterial small subunit ribosomal RNA
Source: RNAcentral
UACGUAGGGUGCAAGCGUUGUCCGGAAUUAUUGGGCGUAAAGAGCUCGUAGGCGGUCUGUCGCGUCGGACGUGAAAAUCCAGGGCUCAACCCUGGACCUGCGUUCGAUACGGGCAGACUAGAGUUCGGUAGGGGAGACUGGAAUUCCUGGUGUAGCGGUGAAAUGCGCAGAUAUCAGGAGGAACACCGGUGGCGAAGGCGGGUCUCUGGGCAACAACUGACGCUGAGGAGCGAGAGCGUGGGGAGCGAACAGG